This is a long non-coding RNA of Macadamia integrifolia, 870 nucleotides long. RefSeq lists it as uncharacterized. NCBI's taxonomy places the organism in Eukaryota, Viridiplantae, Streptophyta, Magnoliopsida, Proteales, Proteaceae. The transcript is spliced from 2 exons. The record is from RefSeq and is a predicted model, not a curated record.
AGAGAGGGCCUGGGAGGCAGAAAAGGUUUGCAGAAACAUGGAGAGUGAGUGGGAGCAGAGAAGGAGUGAGGCAAAGAGACGAAGGUAGGGAGAGAGAACAUUGUGAAUGGGAGAGAAGGAAUAGUGGGAGAUAGAAAGUGAGUGUAUGGUAUCUCCCUUUCAGUCAUCCUCCAUUAUCUUUCUCCCUCCCUCUCCCUUCCCAUCUCGUCAAAAUCUAACACCUUCUGAGCUCAUCAAUUUUCUUCCGGACCACAAACCCCUGUUAUCUAAAUCCAUACAUCGACUCGUCGAUUCUCUUCAACCAGCUCCUCCAUCCUUCUCUCCUUCAUUCUCAUCUCGUCAACCCUAGCGCCUUAUUUCCAGGUCUCGUCUCAUUUUUAUUUUUUUGUGUGAAAUGGGUUCCACCUGAUGGUUUUGGUUCAUUCGUAGCCAGAAAGGGAAGAAGAUCCAGAACUACAACAGGACUGGAUACUUCUAGUACUAUUCUUGUGUUACAAUGGCUAUAUUGUUAUACGUUAUUAUAUCAUGGGAGGUGCAGGUUCUCGCAAAUAGGAGGUGCUUAUGUUCUUUGGAAAGAUGAUGGAUGAGGUCUGUUUUUUAGAUCUGCCAAGUGGCUUGCUAAUGUUCUCACCCUACUUCAGGUUUGGAAGUGAUGAUUUCUGUCGCCCAGGAAAUGCACCAAUUCUACAGAAUCAUGGGUUUAAAAGUGCCCGACCCUUUGUGGAAAUCUCAGAUGGUCAAAAUUCUGUAAAUUAUUGAAUAAGAUUUUCAUAAAUAUAUAGUGCAGAAACAACCAGUUUGUAAAAAAAAAAGAAUGUACAGAUGCAGCAAAGAAAUGAAUAAAUGGUAUGAUCAUGUCAAGGUUUCUAA